RNAcentral lists this long non-coding RNA (770 nucleotides) under Homo sapiens (human). RNAcentral's name for it is "non-protein coding lnc-NEK10-2:1". Lineage: Eukaryota; Metazoa; Chordata; Mammalia; Primates; Hominidae. The record is from RNAcentral.
AACCCAAACUUUAUUCCAUUCUGUUGUUUCUGAUGUAUUUUCCACUUUCUAGUCUCCAUGCUUCUCAAUGUGGGAAAAAAAGAAGUUAAAAUCUACCACAUUGUAUAAUUGAUUUAGUAAAAUGUAAGCAUGAAAUUCAGGAUCCUUAAAAAUGUAUCCUACUCUAAUUUCUCAGAUGUGUAUGUACUGAACCUCCAAACCCCAGCAAUGAAACUCUAGCACAAUGGAAGAAAGAUAAUAUAACAGCACACAAUAUUUCCUGGAGAAAUCUUACUGUUUCUGAAUGUAAAAAACUUCGUGGUGUAUUCUUGGGGUCAGCUUGUGGUCAUCAUGGACCUUAUAUUCCAGAUGUGCUCUUUUGGUGUGUCAUCUUGUUUUUCACAACAUUUUUUCUGUCUUCAUUCCUCAAGCAAUUUAAGACCAAGCGUUACUUUCCUACCAAGGUAACUGUGAUAUAAUUUUGGAAUUCUGGUAAUAUUCAUAUUUUUGGUUUUUAUUUCCUUGGUUUAUUUCAAAACAGUAAUAUAUUUUUUGAGGUUAAUACUCCAUGCCAACUGGUUAAUAAAGAAAUUAUUCGUAGUGAAAAAUGUAUAUUACGUGCCUGAGCUCACAGUAGGAAGAUGAUGGUACCAUAAGAGUUGCUAGGUUAGUUGCGAAAUGUGUUUCUUAUAUUUUUGGAAAGAAUUAAAUAUAAAUGUGUUUCACUGUUAACAUUGUCACUAGUUAAAAGCUCCAUUUGUACGUUGUAGUGACAAUUUUAUCAAUAAAAG